Molecule: small RNA, 640 nt
Filed under: uncultured Galactomyces
Lineage: Eukaryota; Fungi; Ascomycota; Dipodascomycetes; Dipodascales; Dipodascaceae
Description: eukaryotic LSU rRNA
Rfam family: Eukaryotic large subunit ribosomal RNA (bases 354-640)
Source: RNAcentral
CUUGGUCAUUUAGAGGAAGUAAAAGUCGUAACAAGGUUUCCGUAGGUGAACCUGCGGAAGGAUCAUUAUGAAUUAAUAAUAUUUGUGAAUUUACCACAACAAACAUCAAUCAUACAAUCAAUAAUUAAAAAAUUAAAACUUUUAACAAUGGAUCUCUUGGUUCUCGUAUCGAUGAAGAACGCAGCGAAACGCGAUAUUUCUUGUGAAUUGCAGAAGUGAAUCAUCAGUUUUUGAACGCACAUUGCACUUUGGGGUAUCCCCCAAAGUAUACUUGUUUGAGCGUUGUUUCUCUCUUGGAAUUGCUUUGCUCUUCUAAAAUUUCGAAUCAAAUUCGUUUGAAAAACAACACUAUUCAACCUCAGAUCAAGUAGGAUUACCCGCUGAACUUAAGCAUAUCAAUAAGCGGAGGAAAAGAAACUAACAAGGAUUCCCCUAGUAACGGCGAGUGAAGCGGGAAAAGCUCAAAUUUAAAAUCUGACUGUCUACGACUGUCCGAGUUGUAAUCUAGAGAGGUGUUUUCCGUGCCGGACCGUGUAAAAGUCCCUUGGAACAGGGCGUCAUAGAGGGUGAGAAUCCCGUCCAUGACACGGACUACCGGUGCUCUGUGAUACACCUUCAAAGAGUCGAGUUGUUUGGGAAU